GUUGAGCGCUCCAACAAGAUGGGGGAGGAAACUUACAAAAAAAUUAGGGUUAGAGGAUACAACCUAAAAAGUGGCGUCAAAGUCAAGCCGAGGGAGCUAACAACUGCAUUGAUAGAGGAAAAGGACGCGGUCACUCACCUCCCUCUCUAAAAACAUGGACCCCAACAACCGCGUAUAACCUCCGCUUCAAGCCUUCAACGCAGCGUAUCUACCUUCCCAUUCUGCUUCCUUCUCGCUUUACUUUCCCCCUAUAUAUUCUCUCCAACUCUCCUCUCCUAGCCAUCCCUAAAACCAUUCUUUUCAUCUUCUUCUAUUUUCACUAGCAUAUGUCUCAGAGACCUUCAGUCCCUCACUCUUCUUCCAUUGCUUUUAGCCUCCAUUCCCAUCUUCUCGUCUCCAGUGACUUGAGCCCCAACUGGGUUUCAUCUUUAUAAAGUUUUUUUUCUUGAUUUUUGCCUUUUUUGGGUUCCAUAUUUUUCAUUCUUUUUUAACCAGCAAGGAAAAACAAAUUAGAGAAGGAGAGAUUACUAACCAUGGGUGUCAAAGGUUUUGUUGAAGGUGGGAUUGCUUCCAUUGUUGCUGGCUGCUCCACUCAUCCUCUCGAUCUGAUUAAGGUCCGCAUGCAGCUUCAAGGGGAGAACUUGCCAAAUCCUCACCAUCAAAUACACAACCUACGCCCUGCUUUCGCCUUCAAUUCCUCCGCUUCUGCUGCCGUCAUUCCUCCUAACUCCAUCCAUGUUCCUUCCCCAGCGCCGCCACCCCGCGUUGGUCCAGUCUCUGUCGGUGUCCGCAUUGUACAGGCUGAAGGCGUUGCUGCAUUGUUCUCCGGUGUUUCCGCCACUGUUCUCCGUCAGACACUCUACUCCACCACUCGCAUGGGCCUGUACGAUGUUCUCAAACAGAAGUGGACCAAUCCAGAUACCGGAAGCAUGCCGUUGGUGAGCAAGAUCACCGCUGGACUAAUCGCCGGAGGAAUCGGUGCGGCCGUCGGUAACCCAGCUGAUGUGGCCAUGGUCAGGAUGCAAGCCGACGGACGGCUUCCUCUGGCUCAGCGGCGCAACUACAAUGGCGUGAUUGACGCCAUCACGCGAAUGUCGAGGCAGGAAGGAAUAGCCAGCCUGUGGCGCGGGUCUUCCCUGACUGUCAACCGCGCAAUGAUCGUGACCGCAUCGCAACUGGCGUCCUACGACCAAAUCAAAGAAGCGAUUUUGGAGAAGGGAGUGAUGAAGGACGGGCUGGGGACGCACGUGACGGCGAGCUUCGCGGCAGGCUUUGUGGCUGCGGUAGCAUCAAAUCCGGUGGAUGUUAUCAAGACUAGGGUUAUGAACAUGAAAGUGGAGGCAGGAAAAGCCGCGCCGUACAACGGGGCCAUUGACUGCGCAAUGAAGACAGUGAAAGCUGAAGGGGUUAUGGCCCUUUACAAGGGGUUUAUACCUACGAUUUCAAGGCAGGGGCCUUUCACUGUGGUUCUUUUUGUGACGCUUGAGCAAGUUAGGAAAUUGCUCAAGGAUUUUUAAUCAAUUAUUGAUGAUGAUGACAAAAUUAUUAUUAGUAUUGGUUUGAGUCAUAAGAAAUUGAAAUGCAGUCUUAUUAUUAUUGAUAAUAAAAUUAUAAUUUAGAUUUUUUUUUUAAAUUUCCGAAAUAAUCUAUAGUGUUCUUACAUUAUAUUUAGA
Molecule: unclassified non-coding RNA, 1673 nt
Filed under: Hevea brasiliensis (rubber tree)
Lineage: Eukaryota; Viridiplantae; Streptophyta; Magnoliopsida; Malpighiales; Euphorbiaceae
Source: RNAcentral